GGGGGUGUUCUGGAUUCGACCCUUGGUUGGAGCGCGCCGCUGCCGUUCGAGGAUGAAGGUUGGCCUCGUAAAUCGUCCUUCAAAAAAAUAAUAGGCACAUACGAAGAAAUGCCAUUGGCCGCCUAAGUGCGGCCUCGUUUGUCCAGUGACACCUGCUAGCUGAAACAAACGUCGACAGCAGGAAUAGCGCGCGGAGCGACCCGCGGUUUGCGCGCUGUACUUCGCCCGGGGGUUGGUUGGUGCUUAAGCGCGUGAAGCCGCGUAUCACCAGCGAGAUUAAUACUUCACUAUAACGGAAGAUGCGGUGUGCAAAGCCCAGGGGCACGUGGGUUCAACUCCCACCACCUCCACCA
Molecule: transfer-messenger RNA, 353 nt
Filed under: Opitutaceae
Lineage: Bacteria; Pseudomonadati; Verrucomicrobiota; Opitutia; Opitutales
Also listed under: 1 other name
Description: JADKHC01 sp016721945 Standard tmRNA
Rfam family: transfer-messenger RNA
About the family: Bacterial tmRNA, also known as 10Sa RNA or SsrA, is named for its dual tRNA and mRNA-like properties.
Source: RNAcentral